AAAAUGUACAGAGCAGGGGGUCGCAAGGACGGGAAUUGAGAGCCGCUGCUCUAAGGGAAAACAUAGUACUUUGUGAAUGUCGAGAUAGCAGAGGGAAUCUGCCCAAUUCUGCCCUGCAGCUGAGACUUGGGACAUCUUUAUGAAUUCCUAAGAUGUUUUUGCAGAACUCAAGGUGGAACAUUUCAGCAGGGUUUUUGUCCCAUGAUUCAUAGCUUAAUUUAAAUUUGGGGCCCCAGAUACAGAAGAAUAGGUUUGAGGAUGCUUUUGAAGAUUUUUAACCAGUUUAGUAUGCAUGUGUUGAAUUUGAACAGUGAUUUCUUAUAUUAUAAAAAGCCCUGCGUGUCUUAUCCGACUGAUCUUUGAUUGCAGUAUUAAACUGUCCAGAAGCUCUUCUGAGAUUGUCAGACCCAAAUAAUUAUAACAGGUGACGUGAUUAAGAAUUGUUCCCCCAAUUGUAAACUAUUUUUUGUUAGCAAUGCAAGGCUUUUUUUUCUGAAAGAUCGUGAUUUUAGACUUUUCCAUGUUUAUUGUUAAGGCUCAGUUGUUACUAUACUUUUCCAAAAUGGAGAGGCUUUCAUGCAGUCCCUCUUCAUGAGGCGACAGCAGCAGAAGGUCAACGGCGUACAGGAGGCAUUUGAUUUCUCUGCCUUCAGGGUCAGACCAGGACAAUAGGACUUAUCAAGUGCUGAUGCUAAUUCAUUAAUUUAGGUAUUAAAUAGAGUCGGGCUGAGGCUGCAGCCUUGACAGAUUUCUUUCGUCUGACUGAAAUAAUCAGUCCAUAUGUCACUGAUUUUGACACAGCGUUUGUUCCCAUUGUAUAUGUCCUUUAUGAUGUCAUAUGUCCUUCCUCCUUUUACACUUUGGAUAAGUUUUAGGAAAAGUCCAUUAUGUCUCUCUCUCUCUCUCUCUCUCUCUCUCUCUCUCUCUCUCUCUCUCUCUCUCUCUCUCUGU
Molecule: long non-coding RNA, 951 nt
Organism: Cyprinus carpio (common carp)
Lineage: Eukaryota; Metazoa; Chordata; Actinopteri; Cypriniformes; Cyprinidae
Exons: 2
Source: RefSeq, a predicted model, not a curated record